This 396-nucleotide ribosomal RNA is filed under the name uncultured bacterium. Its description in RNAcentral is "partial 16S ribosomal RNA". It matches the Rfam family "Bacterial small subunit ribosomal RNA", at positions 523 to 918 of the family's 1533-position model. The record is from RNAcentral.
AUACGUAGGUGGCAAGCGUUGUCCGGAAUUACUGGGUGUAAAGGGAGCGCAGGCGGGAAGGCAAGUCAGCGGUGAAAACUAUGGGCUUAACCCAUAGACUGCCGUUGAAACUGUUUUUCUUGAGUGAAGUAGAGGCAGGGGGAAUUCCUAGUGUAGGGGGGAAAUGCGUCGAUAUUAGGAGGAACACCAGUGGCGAAGGCGGCCUGCUGGGCUUUUACUGACGCUGAGGCUCGAAAGUGUGGGGAGCAAACAGGAUUAGAUACCCUGGUAGUCCACACCGUAAACGAUGAUUGCUAGGUGUGGGGGGUCUGACCCCCUCCGUGCCGGAGUUAACACAAUAAGCAAUCCACCUGGGGAGUACGGCCGCAAGGUUGAAACUCAAAUGAAUUGACGGGG